This is a non-coding RNA of Schistosoma rodhaini, 45 nucleotides long. Lineage: Eukaryota; Metazoa; Platyhelminthes; Trematoda; Strigeidida; Schistosomatidae. The record is from Rfam.
AUCCAGCUGACGAGUCCCAAAUGGAACUUGACACGCGUUCUGGAU